GAUGAACGCUGGCGGCGUGCCUAAUACAUGCAAGUCGAGCGAACAGACGAGGAGCUUGCUCCUCUGACGUUAGCGGCGGACGGGUGAGUAACACGUGGAUAACCUACCUAUAAGACUGGGAUAACUUCGGGAAACCGGAGCUAAUACCGGAUAAUAUAUUGAACCGCAUGGUUCAAUAGUGAAAGACGGUUUUGCUGUCACUUAUAGAUGGAUCCGCGCCGCAUUAGCUAGUUGGUAAGGUAACGGCUUACCACGGCGACGAUGCGUAGCCGACCUGAGAGGGUGAUCGGCCACACUGGAACUGAGACACGGUCCAGACUCCUACGGGAGGCAGCAGUAGGGAAUCUUCCGCAAAGGGCGAAAGCCUGACGGAGCAACGCCGCGUGAGUGAUGAAGGUCUUCGGAUCGUAAAACUCUGUUAUUAGGGAAGAACAAAUGUGUAAGUAACUAUGCACGUCUUGACGGUACCUAAUCAGAAAGCCACGGCUAACUACGUG
Molecule: ribosomal RNA, 497 nt
Filed under: uncultured bacterium
Lineage: Bacteria
Description: partial 16S ribosomal RNA
Rfam family: Bacterial small subunit ribosomal RNA
Source: RNAcentral